UGCCUCAAGGUCAUACCUAUUGUCAUAAUAAUAGACAAGGUUAUGUUUAGAUAGUCAAUCAAUAUUAUUCCACUAAUUACGCGUCCUAAAAAUGGCCAAACAAUCCAGCGUUAAAUCUAGACGUAAAAUAGUAACUCCUGUCUUUCAUUUACAAACUAAAGACGAAGAUGACAGUCAACUUUCAAAGGCCAUGAUUAAAAUUGUGCGAAGAACAGGACAGCUCAAUUUAUCUGGACGUAGCCUGGCUAAUGUACCUGAAAAAAUGUUCACAAUGUAUGAUCUAACCCCCGAAGACACUGCCACUUACAUUGACUUUGAUAAGAAACCUGACGAGGAGAACUGGUGGCAUUUUAAGUCGUUGACUUAUUUAGAUUUAAGCUCAAAUGUUUUACAAGAGAUCCCCGGAAAAAUUGGAAUGUUCGAAGAUCUGACCGUGCUCAAUUUGCAAGAUAACAACAUAUUAAGUUUACCACAUGAAAUUGGUAAUUUAACUAAGUUAACAAAACUAAAUCUUAGUCAUAACAAAAUUAACGCGCUGCCAAUGGAAUUUUAUAAUUUAAGUGAACUUCAAGUGCUUUCAUUAGCUCAUAAUCAGUUGGGGAAAUUGUCAAAGAGAUUUGGGGAUUUGGUGAUGUUGCAACAACUGGAUUUAUCCCAUAACGUUUUAACUAAACUACCUCCAGGGUUGGGAUUUUUGGUGCGUUUAACUGAAAUAAACCUCUCACAUAAUAAGUUAGUUGACUUACCACCUGACAUUGUUAAUUUAAGGGGUUUGCUCAAGCUUGAUGUCACUCAUAACGAUUUAGUGUGUCUCCCGAGUUUGGGUGAACUCACUAAAUUACAAUUUUUGUACGCCCAACAUAAUAACAUUGAAGAAAUCCCGGAUUUUGAAGGGAGCACCCACGUCCAACAAAUUUAUUUUGGCAACAAUUACAUCAAGGAAGUGACCCCCGAAUUUUGCGAAAAUAUGCCUAAUUUGAAGAUUCUAGAUUUAAGAGAUAAUAAAAUUGAAGCCUUACCGAACGAGAUAGCUAUGUUGCAACACAUGAUACGUUUAGACUUGACCAACAAUGAUUUAACUGAUCUUCCAAAUUCGUUGGGUUUAUUGCCUCACUUGCAAAAUUUACAACUUGAUGGUAAUAAACUGAAAAAAAUCAGGGCUGAUAUUAUUAAAGCAGGCACGUGUCGCCUACUUAAGCAUUUAAAAGAGAAGUUUGAUGGUGAGGAGCUUGAAAAUAUACAAAAAGUGUCAAAUGUUGCCAUUUAUGAACCUAAAACCUUCCCUGAUAGGUAUACUAUGAAACAUUCCCGUGCUUUGAAUUUAACAAUAAAGCAGCUAACUUCAGUACCUGAUAGUGUUUUUGAGGAAGCUAAAUUAGCAGAAGUUACAAUGAUUGAUUUGUGUAAAAACAAACUACAAACUGUCCCUGGUGGAUUAAAUUUGUUGGUUGAUAAUUUAUCCGAAUUAAAUUUAUCCAUGAAUAUGCUCACUGAAAUCCCCGAAUUUAUAAGCAGCUGUGCCAAUUUGAAAUAUUUUGAUUUGGGCAACAAUUGUUUGAGUGCUUUGCCUGAUUCUUUGGUUGAUCUAAUUGGUUUAAGAGAGCUCAUACUCAGUAGUAACAGAUUUAUUAGUAUCCCAGAGUGUGUAUAUGGUAUGGUAGGAUUGGAGAUUUUAUUGGCUAGUGAUAACAAAAUUACUGAGAUUAAUGUAGAUGGUUUGAAAAACCUCAAAAGAAUUGCGACUUUAGAUUUGACAAACAAUAAUAUCAGUCAGAUUCCGCCAGAACUAGGAAACGUGACGCAAAUCAGGUCACUUGAGUUAAAAGGCAAUUGCUUUAGACAACCCAGAUAUGCGAUUCUGGAACAAGGAACGGCCUCAAUUUUGAGUUAUUUGAGGGAUAGAAUACCAAAAUAGUGUGACUGUAAAAUUAAUGGUCGACGGUUAUGCGUAGAUCUAUGGAUGAAUUAGAUACAUUACAUUACAAAAUAUAUGCAGCGUUUACAGAGUGAUAGGAAGGCUACUAGAAUUCAUAGAGGAAGAAAUGAUUCAAAGCAGACAUGACGAAACACCAAAAAUAAAAUCAUUUCUGGAACCUUUCAAGAAAGAAAAAUACAACUGCUAUUUUUAAGGAACAAUUCCAUUUUUUGAGUAAUUUUGAUAAUUAAUAACAAGAGUAAACAUUAACAAAAUGGUCAAAAGUUGUUUCGACAGAACUUCCCUCGCCCCUGAAGUACGUACAAUGAAACUUCCAG
RNA transcript from Zophobas morio, 2253 nucleotides. It is a transcript of the gene named leucine-rich repeat-containing protein 40-like, with no coding region annotated. The transcript has 11 exons. Lineage: Eukaryota; Metazoa; Arthropoda; Insecta; Coleoptera; Tenebrionidae. The record is from RefSeq and is a predicted model, not a curated record.